This 382-nucleotide ribosomal RNA is filed under the name uncultured bacterium. RNAcentral's name for it is "bacterial SSU rRNA". It matches the Rfam family "Bacterial small subunit ribosomal RNA", at positions 30 to 417 of the family's 1533-position model. The record is from RNAcentral.
AUUGAACGCUGGCGGCAUGCUUUACACAUGCAAGUCGAACGGGGUGAAGGGGCAACUCUUCAUUCAGUGGCGAACGGGUGAGUAAUACAUCGGAACGUACCCCGUAGUGGGGGAUAACUCGGCGAAAGCCGUGCUAAUACCGCAUAUGCUCUACGGAGGAAAGCAGGGGACCGCAAGGCCUUGUGCUAUGGGAGCGGCCGAUGUCCGAUUAGCUAGUUGGUGAGGAAUGGCUCACCAAGGCGACGAUCGGUAGCUGGUCUGAGAGGAUGAUCAGCCACACUGGGACUGAGACACGGCCCAGACUCCUACGGGAGGCAGCAGUGGGAAUUUUGGACAAUGGGGCAACCCUGAUCCAGCCAUGCCGCGUGCGGGAAGAAGGCCU